This 427-nucleotide ribosomal RNA is filed under the name uncultured eukaryote. Its description in RNAcentral is "bacterial SSU rRNA". It matches the Rfam family "Eukaryotic small subunit ribosomal RNA", at positions 592 to 1018 of the family's 1831-position model. The record is from RNAcentral.
CAAUAGCGUAUAUUAAAGUUGUUGCGGUUAAAAGCUCGUAGUUGGAUUUCUGUCUGAGGCGGCCGGUCCACUUUCUGAGUGAGCAUCUGGUCCGCUUUGGGCAUCCUCCUGGGGAACGUCUCCGCGCUUGAUUGUGUGGUACGGAAUCUGGGACUUUUACUUUGAGGAAAUUAGAGUGUUCACGGCAAGCAAUCGCUUUGAAUACAUUAGCAUGGAAUAAUAAUAUAGGGCGUAAGUUCUAUCUUGUUGGUUUCUUAGAACAUACGCAAUGAUUAAUAGGGACAAUUGGGGGCGAUUCGUAUUAACGCGUCAGAGGUGGAAUUCUUAGAUUGCGUUACGACGAACUACUGCGAAAGCAUUUGCCAAGGAUGUUUUCUAUUGAUCAAGAACGAAAGUAAUAGGGGAGUCGAAGAUGAUCAGAUACCGU